This 936-nucleotide long non-coding RNA is filed under the name Gossypium barbadense (sea-island cotton). RNAcentral's name for it is "long non-coding RNA (GBAR_LNC014495)". Lineage: Eukaryota; Viridiplantae; Streptophyta; Magnoliopsida; Malvales; Malvaceae. The record is from RNAcentral.
UCGGGUCUCGGGUUGUGCUUCAAAACGACGCCAUUUUGGGGCUUCUAAGGCUAGCCCCAAACGACGUCAUGUAAGGGCCCUAUAAAUAUAAAAAAAUUCUAAAAAAAUCACUUCAGACUCCAUUUAAAAAAAAAUUUGAAAACCCAUCCCCUUCUUUUUUCUCAACAGCCUAGAAUCCGGCCAUGGGAACCACUGUCGAUCCGCCUCGACUAUCGGUCGUCGGCGAUGGCGACCGCCGUCCUCGGUGGUUGGAUUUUACGAAAAAGGCCUAUUUUGGCCGUCUUGUUUCCCUCAACCCAGAUCGAAAGCCCAUUAAAAAAACAAGAAAGGACCAAAAACCUUUCGGUUUUCUGAGUUUUGAAAACUUCCUCAGAGUCACCUUUCAUCGAAGGUGACAGCCUCGUCUACUCACGGUGACGGAGCACAAGGUGUCUGGUGAGUCAUCAAACCUUUCUCUUUUUUUUAUUAUUUGUAUUUUUUAUUUUUAUAAAAAAUAGUAGAUUCGAAAAAAUAAAAGGAAGAAAGAAUCACCUUUAAAAUUUUUUUUUAUAUUCUGUUUUUGAUUACUUCUUUGUAUAUAUUUUUCUCCAUAAAAAAUCCAGUCCGAAUAGAAUCUGCUUCCAUGGCUUUUAUAGCCAUUACAUACUGUUCAUUAUACAUUUUUUUCUAUUUUUUUACUAUUUCUACUGUUGUUUAUUACGUGUUGUUGUGUUUUUGCUUUUGUCUUUUUUUCUUUUUUGCAGGUGUCCCUGGCCAACAGUGGGGAGAGGCGUUCCCGAGGCAUCAGACCUCUAGCGACGUUCGUGCUGACAUGGCGAAGGCAUAGAGUGGCGGCGGCUGGAGGCUUAGGAAUUAGGGUUUCUGUUUAGUUUUUUUUGUAAACUUAAUGUUAUGGGCUUAAGGUUUUUUUUAUUUGGGACAUUUGGGUCAUUUGGG